CGCGGCCUAUCAGCUUGUUGGUGAGGUAAUGGCUCACCAAGGCGUCGACGGGUAGCCGGCCUGAGAGGGUGACCGGCCACACUGGGACUGAGACACGGCCCAGACUCCUACGGGAGGCAGCAGUGGGGAAUAUUGCACAAUGGGCGGAAGCCUGAUGCAGCAACGCCGCGUGAGGGAUGACGGCCUUCGGGUUGUAAACCUCUUUUAGCAGGGAAGAAGCGAGAGUGACGGUACCUGCAGAAAAAGCGCCGGCUAACUACGUGCCAGCAGCCGCGGUAAUACGUAGGGCGCAAGCGUUAUCCGGAAUUAUUGGGCGUAAAGAGCUCGUAGGCGGUUUGUCGCGUCUGCUGUGAAAUCCCGAGGCUCAACCUCGGGCCUGCAGUGGGUACGGGCAGACUAGAGUGCGGUAGGGGAGAUUGGAAUUCCUGGUGUAGCGGUGGAAUGCGCAGAUAUCAGGAGGAACACCGAUGGCGAAGGCAGAUCUCUGGGCCGUAACUGACGCUGAGGAGCGAAAGGGUGGGGAGCAAACAGGCUUAGAUACCCUGGUAGUCCACCCCGUAAACGUUGGGAACUAGUUGUGGGGACCAUUCCACGGUUUCCGUGACGCAGCUAACGCAUUAAGUUCCCCGCCUGGGGAGUACGG
This 643-nucleotide ribosomal RNA is filed under the name uncultured Actinomycetes bacterium. Its description in RNAcentral is "bacterial SSU rRNA". It matches the Rfam family "Bacterial small subunit ribosomal RNA", at positions 232 to 885 of the family's 1533-position model. The record is from RNAcentral. Lineage: Bacteria; Bacillati; Actinomycetota; Actinomycetes.